UUGGGGAGGUGGAAGGUGGGGAGGUGGAAGGUGAUGGGUUGGGGAGGUGGAAGGUGGGGUACACAGGUACAACUCACUCAUUUCUUUCUUUAUAGCCAUCCGAUUUGGUAGGCUAUAUUUUUGUAGCCUAUUAGUGUUGCUAACCUUUGUUAUUUUACUUCCAAAAUCUGCCAUUUUUCGUUACCAAUUUGUAAUACAUAGUGACAGGGUGUUUGUAUGUGAAUAUGAGGUGGGGAAUCUAGAGUUCUACAGGAUCUAGGUAAUUCAACAUAUAUGGAAGAAAUGUCGUGAUGUUGGACUACAGGAAAUUUCUUGAGGAUGUUUUUUGGCCAUGUAAACGUUCACGCUAAUUCAAAGGAUUUUCAAUUUAAUGUGAAUGAGGAAUACUAUAGUUUCGGAGGAGAUGAAGACACUGGUGAAGCGUUAUUACUUCGAUUCUUCGUAGGUUCAGGAUACUUUAAUGCAGUGGCGGACCCGGAAAUUAUUUGCUGGGGGUGCGGAGAAGGUGUUCAACCAUAUUUUCAAGGGAUCCGGUCGAGUUUUUUGCCUAAAAUAUACACUAAAUUUUUUUUUUCAAGGGGUGCGGCCGCCCACCCUGGCCAAAGGGUAGGUCCGCCCAUGCUUUAAUGGUCACCAGCAGUGAUUUCUCUUUCUCGCCAGAAUUUAGCAUUGGUCGCUAUUGCAUUCAGCGUCGAACCCGACUGUGGUUAUCAUCUUCUCCAAGUAAAUUGAGUAAAUUGUAAGCAAGGCUUCAACAUCAACGGAUUUGACCAACCCCAUUUGGGAUUUCAUUUAAAGAAUUAUAUGUUCUGCUUACGAUUCAGUUUUGGAUCCGUUUAAUGGUGGUGAUAGAAGGAUUAGAAGCAGCGUGGACAACAUGAAUUAAAUCAGUAGUUGAACGGUGACAUAAACAAUGACGUGUGGCAGCAUCACGAUUUUAUUUAUUUGUUUUUACAUUUUCAGUUGUUAUAACGAGCGUACUGUAACGAAACAGACCGAUAGCGAUCAAAUUUAUGUCGUGGAACGUGGAGAAUCCCGGCGCAACGCGCCGGUCUUCGUACCCCUAGUCACUUUAAUUAUGCAUUUGUCACUAUCCCAUCUUAAUAAUUGACUUACUUUAAUCAAAAGUAAAGAUCCACUUU
Molecule: long non-coding RNA, 1142 nt
Filed under: Helianthus annuus (common sunflower)
Lineage: Eukaryota; Viridiplantae; Streptophyta; Magnoliopsida; Asterales; Asteraceae
Source: RNAcentral